CACUGUACUAAACUAACUAAAGUGGGGGAUAGUGAGGGGAUAAAUUUCCUUAAGGAACUCGGCAAAAUCCCAAUGGCCCACCAGGGCAUAUAUUGGAACACGGGCCUCGACUGUUUACCAAAAACAUAGCCCUCGGCCAAUAUGAAAAUAGAAGUAUGGAGGGUGAGGCCUGCCCAAUGGUUGUAUCUAAAAGCGGUUGAUAAAAGUCGACCGUGUAAGGACAAUUGAAUGGCCGCGGUAACACUGACCGUGAUAAUGUAGCGUAAUCAAUAGCCAAUUAAUUGUUGGCCAGUAUGAAUGGCGCCACGAAGGCCCCACUGUCUUAAGGAAAUUCCCAGUGAAAUUGAAUUCGUAGUGAAGAUGCUACGUCCAAUUUGUUAGACGAAAAGACCCCGUUGAGCUUUACUGGGGCACUUACACGGCCCCGGCCUUCAAAACUGGGUUGAUAAGCCAAGGCUUACCAUACCUAGGGACCGGCCGAAUUUAAAUGGGCGGCUUAGACUAUGUGGCAGCCCCCCCCGUCGGGGCAGAUGAAACCCCACUCCCCCAUGUCAAAGGGGCUAACCCCCCCCCUUGGGGGGGACAGUGUAAGUAGGACAGUUUGGUUGGGGCGACCGCCUUUUAGAGAGUAACGAAGGUGCGCUUAAGGUGCGUAAUUAAUGACUGAAGCCUGACUGCGAGGGGGACACCCCGAGCAGACACCCCCAAGCCCGCCCUCGCCUUCGUACCAACGGAGGGAGGGCGGCGGUGGGGUGGGCCAUAGUGACCCGUUAAUUUAGAGUGGAAUAGUUAACGAUC
This 798-nucleotide ribosomal RNA is filed under the name Parazoanthus darwini. Its description in RNAcentral is "partial large subunit ribosomal RNA". It matches the Rfam family "Bacterial large subunit ribosomal RNA", at positions 1640 to 2450 of the family's 2925-position model. The record is from RNAcentral. Lineage: Eukaryota; Metazoa; Cnidaria; Anthozoa; Zoantharia; Parazoanthidae.